Molecule: non-coding RNA, 74 nt
Filed under: uncultured Plesiomonas sp.
Lineage: Bacteria; Pseudomonadati; Pseudomonadota; Gammaproteobacteria; Enterobacterales; Enterobacteriaceae
Description: L31-Gammaproteobacteria ribosomal protein leader
Rfam family: L31-Gammaproteobacteria ribosomal protein leader
Source: RNAcentral
CGUGUGGUGUUUGGCAAAUUACCGUGUAAAUCAGGGUAAGGUUGACCAGAUAGCGACACGGCCUUUACUGAGGU